RNAcentral lists this long non-coding RNA (27982 nucleotides) under Triticum aestivum (bread wheat). Its description in RNAcentral is "long non-coding RNA (TAES_LNC025161)". The record is from RNAcentral. Lineage: Eukaryota; Viridiplantae; Streptophyta; Magnoliopsida; Poales; Poaceae.
UAUUAUUUGUUUCAUUUUUACACAUAUCUGAUGAACUAAAAGAAACUCUGUUCAGUUAUAAAUAAGUUGUAUAUUGUCCCAUCCUAAGAAUAACAUAAACUGAGAAUCAAUGUGGAUGAGUGUUAACAAAAUGGUUAUUUAUUUACCGUCCAAAUAAAGUUAAGUAAAACAGGUUCUCUCUUGUCACCUGUGUGUCACUGAAUAUUUGAACAUUAGAUCUGCAACUGUUUCAAGAAUAUAAACAAGGAACACAGCACAAGCUUAAUGCUACCGACAUUGUUUCUAGGCACACUUUGCUCGUAUUCAGAACACAGGAGUUCUAGCACCCGCAGUACCACAAAAUUUUGCUCCCCGUCAGUUCUACGUCGGUCCAGGAGUGCCUGGCAUGUUCCCACCACAGGUUCGUGCAGGCUUCGGGUAUCAACAAUUCCCACAACAACAUUUCAGUCCUUGGGUUCCUAGCGGCAUGACGCCAUAUACGUAUAACAUGCCGAGGCCACUACACCAUGCUUGGCGUGGUGUGCAUCAAGAAAUCAAUCUACACUGACAGGUAUUAUGGCAUGAGAGAUGAACAUUUUUUGACUUCAUUUUUUUAAUCCUUAAUGCAUCAGCUACUCUUGCAAAGGUCAUCCAGCCGUGCCCAUGUUCAGAUUAUCUCACAAGUAGUCAAUUCACCUGACUUUCUUGCUUUUACAAUGCAGAUGGUGUACCCAAAUACCAACCAAGCCUUCACAUACAUGCCAAAUUCUAUGAAUGUGAAUGCCAACUCUGUGAUGGUUCCCCCGGGCUUCGCACAAACUGAUAGUACUGUCUCUACUCCAUCUGUUCCAAGCAAGAACACCACCACCACUGCUGUAGAUUCUUCUUACCUGGAGAAACAACAUCCCGUAAGGACAGUGGAAUUAUAUUAGGACGUGCUAAUUUCACAGUUACAAAUUUUACUUGGCAUGCAUGUUUAUAUAUUAGCCAUUUAUGUCAAUGAAGGGUGAAUUUUUAGUUUGGUCGUAUACUUUGUUUAUCUUGCAGAUUCAAGACGAGAAAUUGUACCCACUGGGUGAACAGCUUGAGCCAGAAUUAGGAGGGAAGGUGACAGGGAUACUGGGUGAGGCAAUGGAAGCUCUACAAGGAAGGAAACUGGAAGAGGCCAGGGAUACUGUUGACCUCGCAACCAUACCAUCAUCAUCGACCUUGAGUGUUAGCAGAGAUGCUAUUGACCCCGCUUCGACAGCGUCGUCCUCGAGUGCUUCCGCUGACGGUGCUAACCUUGCUCCGUCACCAUCAUCCUCGAGUGCUUGAACGCUGGUUCCUAACAUCUCUGUCGACCUGAAAUUUAGAUGGUUGGAUAAUGUUUAAGAAGAUUCCUGGUUUGAUGUUGCUUCAUGAUAUUUUCGGUCAUGAGUUUUAUUCUUGUUUGUUUGUUUGUUCUUAGGUUAAAGUGCAACUGCAUUUUCCCCAAUAUUUAGGAUAACUUCAUCAAAUAAAAAAUUAGACAGUGCCCUCUUCCUUUGGCAGUGAUCCUAGUUACUUCCAAUAUUACGUAAAAGAUAUAAUAGUUUAACGAUAUCUGUUUAACAAUUCAUGAUGGCCUCACAAAACACACACACACAAACCAACCAAAAGUGCAAAUAGGGUGUUAUGGCAAAUAGCUUCAGCCUCUAAAUCAGCUAAAUUGAUGCUAAACAGGGGCUUAAUUGCGCUAAAACUGCUAAGUAGUAUAUGGAGAUGUCGUUUACAUGGACAACUAGCAUUUGCUUUUCUCUUCUACAACUAUUUUCUCCUAAUCUUUUGUAAGUUCAUAUAUUACUAAUGUUCAACUCAUCUACCCGGGGAAAAGGCCCUCUCCUCCAUGACAGAACGAAAAUCCUGAGCCCCCUCGCCGCGCCGUACAACGCCCCAGGGUAGCUUGUGCCAAACGGUCAAUGUGCCCGCGGGUUGCCUCAGGCGAAGGCGUCGGCGGCGUGUACCAUGUGCAGUGGGAUGCUAGGGGUGAGCGACCACAGGAAUGUUUAGAGUAUUGUGCACAUCUCACAGAUUGCUAGAUGUUUCAUGUGAUGUAGAAGUACAUAUAUGCAUUCAAACUUGUCGAUAGAUGCAUGGAAGAAACUACUUAAGAAUUCUGAGGCAUACAAUGUGGAAUUUGCAAGCUUCAUCUCCGCAGGUGUAUAGCACCAUGCAUGUGCCAUCAAGCUUACGUAACCGUUGAAUAUGAUUACGUCUAGCUCACCAAACAGCCCUGCGAUGCAGGUAUGCUGUGUUUCUUUCUCCUUCUCUUAAACACGUAAUCCUUGAGCGCUGCAACCAUAGCAUCAUUUCUCUGUAGAGAAGCUCAUCAAGCUCAUGCAUCUUCUGCCGGAUGAAACGAUGAUCGACAUUGUUCUCUUGCAAGGAUGCAAGUUCAGACCGGAGCCUCUCAAUAUCACGUAGCACAUGCCCAAAGGUUUUACUGCUCCAUUUCGAAAGAUUCUACAGAGUUCCUUCAACGAGUUUGACACUGACUCCACUCCGCACCCAUGUGUCGAUGCACAAAAUUAGGGGCUCUCCUUUUGCACCCCUUAACUUGUGCACAGGCAGUCAGAGCCGCGCCCACGGUCGCACUGAGCAGGGAAGAGGAGGGAUGCCGGACGACAAGACAACCGAAGCAACGCCAAGACCAGAGACACAAAGAGCAAGGGAGCGAAGUCGACUCCCCCGGCAAGACUCUUGCCGGGGCAACCUCCGCAGCCCCGGCAAGAGCCUUGCCGGGGCAACUUGCCCUAUGCCAGCUGAGCACGCCGCCCUUGAGCCAAGGGGUUCCAAUGCCAUCAACCGCAUCGAAACCAAGGCUCGGGAGGCACCUCCAUGGUGGCAUGCAGAUCUUUGUGGAGAUCAUAAAUACACAAGAACAGAUGAGAACCAAAAGACGACAAUCCUUGGCGAGAUCCUUGCCAAGGAAAUCCAUGUGACCCCCGGCAAGAUCCUUGCCGGGGACGACCACGGUGCCACGGCAAGACCCUUGCCGGGCCCCCGGCAAGACCCUUGCUGAGGACAUCUGCGGGGCCGCAGCCAGGCCCACGUCUGUCAAGACUCCACCACCGCUCCCAUGCAGGUGCUAGCUCAACCAGUUGGGCAGGCGUCUACGUGGCAGCAUGCGGCCUCCACACCGACUCAGCAAGCACCUACGUGGUGGCAUGCAGAUCUUUGUGAAGGCUCUGCCAUCACGCCAGCCCAGCAGCCAGCCAACGUGGCGCUACAAUGUCUCGUCGGCUCGGACGCGCGUCGGAGCCAGGCGAGGUGGCGACAGCUGGGACGAGCUUCCUUGUCAUCCCCGAUAAAGCAAGAGGGGCACGUCGGCAGCGCAUUAAAUGUGUUUGUCCGACGGUGCCAGAGGAUAGACUCAGCCACGAUACUCCUUUCCACCUCCUGUGUGCCACUAUGGCAACCCCUUUUGUCUAUAAAAGGAGGCCCGAGGCGUACUGGAGGAGGAUUCGAAUCUUUGGAACUAGGGACACACCGUAGCUAGUUCAAGAACUCAAGAACACUAAAAUAUACAUCAAAGCAGGACUAGGGUAUUACGCGUCUCCGCGGCCCAAACCUGGGUAAACGAUCCUUGUGCUGACCCUCAGACCUGCUCUUUGCACAACUCUGCGCCCGCCAACCGUAGAAGGGAUCCCAGUGAUUCCAUAGGUGUCGUUUCCACCGAGAUCUUUGGCGCGUCACGUAGGGGGCGCGCAGUUGUGGAAAUCUGGUCUGGUUGAAGCAGCGACUUCAUCAUGGUCGUCACUCCAAGGAUGAAGACGACCAAACAAGUGGCGUCCUUGGUGGAUGCAAUGAACACUCGUGCAACAACAAAUAAGCUAAGUCAUGCAAAACUUUGAGCAAUUCCUUUUUAUAUAUAAGGUUAUCAUCCUCGACGAUCUUGCCCUGUGUAUGGAAAACCUGCACGCAAUGGGGCCCUGCCACUAUUGGCAACUCCCUCAUUCUAUUUCGAGACCACUCAAUAGUUCUAGCGGCUGCGUCGAGAACGGCAUGGUGACCUUCUGUGAUUGGCAACGCUCUCGUUCUGUCUCGAAUCCGCUCGACAGUUCGAGCGGCCGCGUUAAGAGUAGUGAGGUGGUUUGCCCGACAUCAAGCACACCCUGCAGGCCAUUGGGGAUCCGUCAUCGAGGCGCCGCGACCUGGGUUUUCGCACCGGCAAGCCUACCCGACUAACGUAGGGUGUACAUACAAAGGGAGAUCAAAUGGGAAAAUAACAUGCAUCAUUUCAAAGCACUUCAGAGUUAUACUACAUCAAUUGUUGCUGCGGUUCUAACUAAAGAUAAAAAUUGUCUUGGUUGUGAACCUGCAGCGGCGAUAAGAAACGGGGUGCCUAGUCCCGGCGCUGGCCUUCUAUCCUCCGAACGGAACUCCGUCGAUGCGGCUGAUGACGGGCUCGAUACGCUCCUUGAGUGUCGCGGGUCCAUGUCCUCCGGCAAGCUAUCCAGCGCAGCUUUGAAGUUGAGGUCAGGGUUCCAGUACGCCACCUUGGUGAGGACCUUGGUCAUGGCACCCCGGCAAAGCCUCCAGGCCUCAUCAACCAGAGAGGCCGCCCUGUUAGAGCGGAACUGCUCCAGGGCCCCGAGAACACCCUCGAAGAACAAGGUCAGCCUGACAUUGGGACUCACGUUCGGCUCCGGGACGUACCUCAUGUUUGGCAUCCCCAUGGUAGCCAGCUGCGUGGUGAUCCUACUGGCGAUGUCGGUGAGGCGGCUGAUCCAGAGGUUUUCUCCCUUCACAAAAUCCUCGUGGUUGGCGGCUUCAUUCUUCCGCAGCUGCCUCUCCUUCUCCAGAUUCUUGGUUAGUGUCUCCUCCCGGGCCCUGACCUCCGACAGCGUACCCUCCAGACCCUCCAGCUUCAGCUUCAGGUCUUGGAUGGAGUUGUUGGCCUUGGAGAGUAGCUCGGCCUUGCCGAGGACUGUGGCCUGCGCAUCAGCCAAAUCGCCUUUGGCCACGUCCCUCUCCCUCGUCAGCUCUAGGAUCUGCUUCUUCAGCCCGUCCCGCUCCACCUCCAGCUCGUUCACCUUGCCAGCAUGGACCUGGGCCUGAGCAUUGAGUGCCUCCUCGUGCCUCUACUCCAGUUCCUGGGUCCGCUACACGACAAGCUCCUUGACCUCCUCGACCUUCCCGCGGAGUGUCACGGCGAGUUUCUCCUCGCGGGCGGCAAGGUCCUCCUCCUAGGAGUUCAGCGCGGCCUGGUGCUGGCGCCGAGCGGCCUCAUCCUUGGCGGCCUGUUGUCUCGCUGCCUCCCGGGCCUUCUCGAUAUCGGCCUGCUUGAUGACAAGCUCCAGCUUGCGCUCGGCCAGCAGAUCCUAGGCGGUCUUCUGUUCCUCACAGGCCUGGCGGAACCAAGCCUGCGUCUCGGUGACGCACCCCUCGAGGUCCGCCUCUGCCUUGUCCACCGCCGCCAUCCUGCACUUGGCCUUGUCCAGGCGGGCACGGUGAAGCGCCUGGAGCUUGUGGAAGUUGGCGCUCAUGCCCUGGAGGAGCCGCUCUUCCUGGGAACCGCCGCCAUCGGCGCUCAGUUCGUCAACGACCUCAAGCCCGGUGGCGGCAAGCACCUCGUCGUCGAACACCUCCCCCUCAGCGAGCGCCUUGGUGCUCGCCAUCCAUGGGAGGUGGACGAACAGGUCAUCGCUCACCUUCAGGUACUUGCUCGAGCCAGACGCGGCGGAGGAGGAAGGAUGGUCAUCAACCACCUCCUCCUCGACAGCGGCCUUGCCGGCCUCCCCGGCCUUCCUGGCAGCGGCCUCGCCGGUCUCCCCGGCAGGCCCCUUGGCGGCGUCCUCAGCAGCGCCCUUGGCGGCCUCCUCAGCGGUGAUCUUGUCGGCCUCGGCCACGGCAUCCCUGGCAACCUCCUUGAUGAAGGUGUCCACGUCCUUCGGGUCCGCCGAGGAAGGAUCUGGAUACCGAGAAAGGGAAUUAGGCGAAGUCAAGACCAAAAUUCAAAAGAAGAAAAACGAGCGGGGACAGAAGGCAAACAACUCACCCAUGCCAAGCUGGGAAGAAGUGGCCCCCUCCCAACCAACGUUCGGUGCCAGGACGAAGCCGUCGGUGCCCAGGUUCGCCUCCUCCUCCUCCGUGCGCAUGGGCUCGGUGCUUGGCGCCCUUGCUGGGGACGCCCCUCGGGGCGGCGUGGUUGAUGGGGGUGGUGUGUUGGGGGUGGCCCUCAGUGACUCCUCCUGGUGCUGUCCUCCUCCUGCAACCACGGCAAGGUCAGCACCAAGAGAUCGUGUCCCAGCACACAUUGAUGAGGAGUGAGUGAUGAACGCAUGCUGGGGGCUGCGCCGGGGGCUGAUAUCCGGGCUGCUCUCCACCACUAGCGGCGUACUCGAGGUGCCCGCCGGGGGCUGACCGCCUGUCAAGGCCCUGGCCAUCUUUGCCACCCUCUGGGCCAGCGUCUCCAUAUCCCUGCAAAGAUGAGGACAAGUCAAGACAAGUGGCACGAUCUAAGGGGACGGAGAUGACAAAAGACAAUAUACUUACUCAUCCUCCGCCCUUUCUUCCGUUGCCUUCCUCUUCCUCCUCUGGCUAAGAGACCCGAAGUCGAAGAUGACCUCCGUGUCGUCGCCUGCGGGAGGAGGGGAAGCGGGUGGAGACCGAGGACGCUUGGACGAAGAAGAGGCAGUCGCUUUCUUUUUCGCCACCACAGCCUUCACCACCAUCCUCGCCGCCGCGGCCCUCGUUUGGCGCACGGACACCUCUUGGGUUUGUUGCGGUUACGUGGCCCUGCCGUGCCGGACCGGCUCACCAGAGCUGGCCUGCCACAGGACACGCCCUGUCCUCGUGGCUGGGGGGUCGACAGCCUCGACCUCCUCCCUGGAAGACUCAUCGACCACAUCUUCAAUAAGAGGGGCCCCGGUGACGGCGCUGCUGGCCUCCCCAGCAGAUUCCGCCCACUGGGCAAGCUCCUUCUCCUUCGCGGCCGCCGCGGCCUCGUCCUCCAUGCCGCCAGCGCUGCCGGACUCCCUGGCGAGCUCUGCCUCCGCCGCCCUGGUGGCGAUAUAGUCCAGCUCCGCUUGGGUGGUGUCCUAGAUGAGCAGCGGCUCUUCGCGGACGUACUUCUCCGACAAGGUGUCGAAGAACUUCUGCACCUGAUCCGCCUCCGGCCCGACCCAAUUUGGGUCAGGGUCGUGCGCAUUACAGUCCGGCAUCAUGGCAAUGAUGUCGGUUUGGCGGGAGUUGUUGCUCAGCGGGACCACCCCCGCUGGCAACCCAAACAAGGGCCCUUGGAGACCUUGUUGGCCUUCGCGGCCUUGCUGGUCCUCUCGGCCCUGCCGUCGCGGUCCACGUCGAGCUGAAAAAGCCGCUGGCAAAAGUGGGCAUGCCCCAUCAACAUGAAGUUGUGGUUCAAGCCGGGGCAAAGCCGCAUGAUGUCAGCUGCAUUCCUGAAAAGCCAGGCCGGCCUCCCCUUGUUGUGCAGUGGAGCGAUGCGGCGGCGGAUGAAAUCCGCCCCAAUCAUCUCCAGGGUGAGCCCGGCAACGGUGAGGCAAUGGAUCCUGGUAAUGGUGACCGUGAGCUUCUCAUCCUGGGCGUCGACAUCGCCCCAGUCGUCUCUGCGAACCGGCGGCGCCUGGCGAACCUGGCAAAAUUCCUGUGGGUCCUCCUCCUCAAUCCAGCACCAUCGGCUCCGCCACUCCUCCCACCUCUCCUUCUGAGCGCCCUCCGGAUAUGUCCCCUUCUCCUGGGUCCUUGGGAUCCAGGCGACACAACCGGAGAUGGCUCCUCCCUUCUGGAUCCGAGGAUAGAAGUGGUGGCGGAAAGCGCCGUGUUGGGAUGCACUCCGGCAAAGCCCUCGCAGAGAUGGGCGAAAAGGGCCAUGCACGCCACGGCAUUUGGAGUGAAAUCCAGAAGGUCAAAGCCAUAGGUGUGCAUGCCAUCAUUGAAGAAAUCAGAGAAAGGGGACAGAGGCCACAGGAAAAGUAGUCGACGAAGAAUGGGUACCGAUUCGGGCCGGCCUUGGCGAAAUCAGUGGGGAUGAUGUGCGUGGCCGGAUGCCUCGUCGUCUCCCCCUUCUUGCACUCCCACAGGGGCUUGAAGUUGUCCUAGAGAUGGACCGCAUCAACCGUCGAGGGAAAGUAGGCGAGCUGCGUCUGCCGCGCCGCCAACUCACUCUCCAGCGGCUCCUUCCCCCCGACGUCCUUGGCCACUCCCUUGCCUUUGCUGGUUUUGGGUGCCAUGGCGGCUGCGAGUAGUGAAGGAUGAAGGACAGCAAACACGCGACAGCGGCGAGCGAGAGCAAGAUCUUGAGAAAGAAGGAGGAGGGGACGACGGUUCCGAGAUUGGAGAAGGCAUAUAGGGUAAAUGAGCAGCGCGCCUGCGGUUAUCCUUUUUUACGGGGAAGGCCCAGACCGCCUCUUUACCAUUUACUACGACAUGACGCCUGCGUGCGGGAACCACCCCAUGCAUGACCCCCACGUCACGCAUGAUCCUCCACGUCGCGCGUUCAACGCGGGUCGUGGGAAAGCGCAGCGGAUGGAAAAGUUACUACAGUAAAAACCACCCCGCCUGCCCGCGCACCAUUCUGGGCCUAGCGCAACAACGCGUCGUGCUUAUGUGUGGCCCAGGCGCAGGGGCUCCUGUUGGUGUACAAAAGUAGGGUCUCUCCUUUUGCACCCCUUUACUUGUGCACGGGCAGUCAGAACCGCGCCCACGGCCGCACUGAGCAGGGCAGAGGAGGGAUACCGGAGCGCAAGACAACCGAAGCAACGCCAAGACCAGAGACACAAAGAGCAAGGGAGCGAAGUGGACUCCCCCGGCAAGACUCUUGCUGGGGCAGCCUCCUCAGCCCCAGGAAGAGCCUUACCGGGGCAACUUACCCUAUGCCAGCUAAGCGCGCCGCCCUUGAGCCAAGGGGUUCCAACGCCAUCAACCACACCGAAACCAAGGCUCGGGAGGCACCUCCAUGGUGCGUGCAGAUCUUUGUGGAGAUCAUAAAUACACAAGAUCAGAUGAGAACCAGAAGACAACGAUUCUUGGUAAGAUCCUUGCCAAGGAAAUCCACGAGACCCCCGGCAAGAUCCUUGCCGGGGACGACCACGGUGCCAUGGCAAGACCCUUGCCGGGCCCCCGUCAAGACCCUUGCCGAGGACAUCCGUGGGCCGCAGCCAGGCCCACGCCUGCCAAGACUCCACCGCCGCUCCCAUGCAACUGCUAGCUCAACCAGUUGGGCAGGCAUCUACGUCGCAGCAUGGGGCCUCCACACCGACUCAGCAAGCACCUGCGUGGUGGCAUGCAGAUCUUUGUGAAGGCUCCGCCAGCACGCCAGCUCAGCAGCCAGCCAACGUGGCGCUACAACGCCUCGUCAGCUCGGACGCGCAUCAGAGCCAGGCAAGGCGGCGACAGCUGGGAUGAGCUUCCUUGUCGUCUCCGAUAAAGCAACAGGGGCACGUCGGCAGCGCAUUAAAUGCGUUUAUCCGAUGGUGCUAGAGGAUAGACUCAGCCAUGAUACUCCUUUCCACCUCCUGUGUGCCACUGUAGCAACCCCUUUUGUCUGUAAAAGGAGGCCCGAGGCGUACUAGAGGAGGAUUCGGAUCUUUGGAACUAGGGACACACCGUAGCUAGUUCAAGAACUCAAGGACACUCAAAUAUACAUCAUAGCAGGACUAGGGUAUUAUGCGUCUCUGCGGCCCGAACUUGGGUAAACGAUCCUUGUGCUGACCGCCAGACCUGCUCUUUGCACAACCCCGCUCCCGCCAACCGUAGAAGGGAUCCCAGUGAUUCCAUAGGUGUCGUUUCCACCGACACCAUGUACGUGAAAUAACAACCGGCAGAUUGGGAUCCCUUUCAUACAUAGUCUUAUAUCUAGGUGGUCAUCGCCGCCUCAGCGUUGAAUCGACUGGUAGCAUCUCGAGGACGAUCGGGCAGUGGUUUGAGCAAGGAAAUGCCAGGUGAACUACACCUGAUGCUAGAAAUAGGUCACGCCAUUGUUAAUCCGCACAAACAUGGUCCACAUGCACUCGCACAUUGCUAUUAAAUCGAAAACAACAGUAGUGCAGUUCAGUUCAAGUACGGAACAGUGAUGCCCUAUUUUAGGCCAGCUAUUGGAGAUGUCACUUUGUCAUGCCCAAAAAAUCCACUUUUUGGUGUCUUAAAUUUAACACCAACCUCCUUUUGGUGCUCUACAAUAGGGAAGCAAUUGGAGAUGUUGUAAGAAAGUUAUAAAAUGUAGCCUGUGGAAUAAAUGGAGAAUAUUUAAUGCAAAGUAAAUACUAAAGGAUUUGAGCAUCCAUCCGAGAUUUUUGCACAUUACCAUAUUAAUGCAAAAUAAAUACGAUAGGACUCAAGCAUCCCCCGGAGAUUUUAACACACCGCCAUAUUAAUACAAAUAAACACAAUAUGGACUCGAUAAUCCAUCUGUGAUAUUCUUUCACAAAAUAACAUUUUUCAUUUCCAUAUAAUUUUCAAAUUUGUGAUCUUUUUGACAAUACAACAUGCAUAUGAGUGCAAGUUCAAUGACUGGAACAAAGAUGUAGCCCCCAAAACCGAAAGGAAUUUGGUACUCACAUAUGUUUAAACUUGUUGCGUAAUCACAAUGAGUUUUUUUGGCACACCCCUUUAGAAGUUUACAUGAAUCUUAAAGUUACUUAAAAAGGUUUUCACCAUAUUAGCAUGUAGAUCAAUUAUAUCAAAUAGAUUGAUUUGAAUACAAAAGGCUAUAUGACCCUUUUUGAUCGAAAAAGGGUAACUUCUAAUCUCCAUCUUUAAUCUGCAUCAAAAUCUGUAAAAUUUCCUGCGGUGUACCAAAACAAAGUUCAAUUGCAAUUAUUUUUGGUAAAAAAUACCCUAAUGUUUAAGGAAAGCCACAUAUAUGAACAUUCUUUAACAAUACGUAUGAAUAUUCAUUAUUACAGUUUGCAUACCAUCCUUAUUUAAUCACAAUUGUACUGACAUGUAAUUACAAAAGGCUUAUCACCCGGCUUUAUAAAUAAAGUCAUGACAGGAUACAAACACACUGAAAUAGAGGUCCACACAAAGGAAAUAAGUUCAACAACAAGAAAGGAAAAAUUUACUCGUCGGGGGAAACAACAAAACAAGCCCGCAAAAGAACAUAACAUGGUCUCAAGCCGAAUAGAUUAUCAUACCUAAUCUGGACGCAACCUCCUUAUGUUUCCAUGUCAGCUCGUCGAUGGUCGUCUUAUCCCGCCGCUUAGAGAGAGGCUUGCAUAUGGUGUUCAUUUACUUGGAGAAGGCCUAUGAUAAUAUACCGCGGAAUGUCAUGUCGUGGGCCUUGGAGAAACACAAAGUCCCAGCAAAGUACAUUACCCUCAUCAAGGACAUGUACGAUAAUGUUGUGACAAGUGUUCAAAAACGUGAUCUUGACAUUGAUGACUUCCCGAUCAAGAUAGAGAUGCAUGAGGGGUCAGCUUUGAGCCCUUAUCUUUUUGCCUUGGUGAUGGACGAGGUCACGGGGGAUAUACAAGGAGAUAUCCCAUGGUGUAUGCUCUUUGCGGAUUAUGUGGUGUUAGUUGACGAUAGUCGGACGGUGGUAAAUGGGAAGUUAGAGUGAUGGAGACAAACCUUCGAACCAAAAGGGUUUACAAUUAAUAGAACUAAACCGAGUACAUGAUGUGCGGUUUCAGUACUACUAGGUGUGAGGAAGAGGUUAGCCUUGAUGGGCAGGUGGUGCCUCAGAAGGACACCUUUCGAUAUUAGGGGUCAAUGUUGAAGGAGGAUGGGGGUAUUGAUGAAGAUGUGAACCAUCGAAUCAAAGCCAGAUGGAUGAAAUCAUGGCACUCGGGCACUAGUGACAAGCAUUAUUCACAACAAAGUCAUAGCAACAUCAAUCUCAAAACAUAGUGGAUACUAGAGAUCAAGCCCUACCAAAACUAACUCGAUUACAUAAUGAAUCCCACCCAUACCAUCAUCGUCCAGCAAGCCUACGAAGAGAUUACUCACUCCCAGCGCUGAGCAUCAUGAAAUUGGUGAUGGAGAAUGGUUGGUGAUGACAAUGGCGGCGAAUCCCCUUCUUCGAAGCCUAGAACGGACUCCAGAUCUGGCCUCCUGAUGAAGAAGUGGUGGCGGCGGCUUCGUAUCGUGAAACACGAUGAAACUUCCUCUCCUAUUUUUUUGGGAAAUAGGAAUUUAUAGUAUCUAUAAUAGGGUUAGCGGAGCCUCGUGAGCCCCACUACCUACUAGGGCAUGCCAGAGGGGGGGCGCCCUGGUGCCUAGUGGGCAACUGCCCCCCUCUAGUGGGUCUUGGUUCCAGUAAUUUUCAUUUAUUCUAAAAUAAUUCUCCAAAAAGUUUCUUGCAAUUCUGAGAACUUUUAUUUCUACACGAAAACAACACCAUGGUAGUUCUACUGAAAACAACGUUAGUCCGGGUUAGUUUCAUUCAAAUCAUGCAGAUAAGAGUCCAAAACAAGAGCCAAAGCGUUAGGAGAAGUAGAUACGAUGGAGACGUAUCACGUGAUAUUCGGAGCAGUAGAUAAGGUAAUACUUGUCGCAAUGGAGGAGAGCGCUAACCACUCGGUGGAUUCAAGGGGACCGAAAGAGCGGUGGAAUGUGAGGUUCCUCCCUGCAUCCGCAACCGCCAAGGCCACUGAGAUGGAAGGUUGAUCCGGAAUGGCGAAGAGCGCCAGGAAUUGAACAAUGAGUGGUCGGUCAUCAAGCUAAACUAUUCAACAAAAAAUGGGUGUCCAUUCCUCUCUCCACCAUCAGCAAAUACCAGAUGGAAAAUCGAUUUGAUAGGUUGAAUGGCGUGCCAAAAUAUUAGCCUCUGGUCGUGUAGCAAUGAGCGAAGGACUGCCCCUUAAGAUAUUUGUCCUUAAUUAGAUCCAUUUGCUCAUCAGGCACAUGUUCAUGCGACGAGCUGACGUGAUGACUAGACCCCCUAGUCCUUCUCAUGCAAAUGUGCCGCCAUUUGACCAUAUGAUAUUUGUGCUUAUCCACCUCACCUUGCCAAAAGAAUUUGGAUUGAUAUUUGUACAUGUCCGCAUGGGCUCCUUCAGGAAAAUGGUAUAGCCCCAUCGCAAACGUAGGGAGGCUAGCCAAGGAAGAUAUAAUGAGAAUCGAUUUCCCGGCUUUAGAAGUCAAUCUUCCUUGCCACAAAUCUACCCAGGUCUCACCCUCUCCAUCACCGGUCGCGGAUCUCUCCAACAAACCAUCGACACACUAACCGAUAGACCAAGGUACCUAAUAGGGAAUGACCCCGGGAAGCAAUUUAGGAGGUUGGCUAUGGAGGAUCGCUCCUAUUUUGGAACGUUGCAUGGAAAACAAAAAAAAUUCUACGCACACGCAAGAUCUAUCCAUGGAGAUGCAUAGCUAGACAGAGGGAGAUCAUUUCCAUACCCUUGAAGAUCGCUAAACUAAAGCGUUUACCAACGCGAUUGAAGUAGUCAUACACCUUCCCGAUCCUUCCCGAUCAAGUACCGAAUGUAUGACACCUCCGCGUUCAGCACAUGUUUAGCUCGAUGACGUCCUCGCCUUCUUGAUCCAGCUAGAUGGAUGAAGUAAUAGAUGAGUUCCGGUAGCAUGACGGCGUGGUGACGGUGGUGGUGAAGAACAAUCUCCGCAGGGCUUCGCCAAGCACAACGGAAACUAUGACGGAGGAUAAACUAGUGGGGGCGGGGUCCUAGGGUCGUUUCUUGGAGAAAGAGCCUCCUCAAAGUCGGUUUAGCCCGCAAGGCAGGAGUCCUUCUCGGACUCCAGGACCAGACGCCAGGGUCCCUGGAGUCUGGCCCCAGACGCCACCCCUGGCCUUUGCAAAACUCCUUUUGCACCUUCCUAAAUCCUUGCGGGCUUUACCCCUUGUCCCAAAUAAAGUUUUCUCAUACCUGAAAAUUUAGGGAAACAUUCGAAACCCCUUCCGGUGAAUUCUGGAACCCUUCCGGAGACCAAAAACUAUUAUCCCAUAUAUCAAUUUUUACCUCCGGACUAUUCCGGAGCUCCUCUCGUCAUGUUCGUGAUCUCAUCCAGGACUCUGAACAACAUUCGACAACCAACAUACAUAACUCAUAUAAUACUAUACCGUCAACGAAGUUAAGCGUGUGGACCCUACGGGUUCAAGAAUGAUGUAGACAUGACCGAGACGCUUCUUCGGUCAAUAACCAAUAGUGGGACCUAGAUGCCCAUAUUGGUUCCUACAUAUUCUACGAAGAUCUUUAUUGGUCGAACCUUUAUGACAACAUACAUAGUUCCCUUUGUCCGUCGGUAUGUUACUUGCCCGAGAUUCGAUCGUCGGUAUCUUCAUAGCUAGUUCUAUCUCGUUACCAGCAUGUCUCUUUACUCGUUCCGUAAUACAUCAUCUCGUAACUAACUCCUUAGUCACUUUGCUUGCAAGCUUCUUGUGAUGCUGUAUUACCGAGAGGGCCCAGAGAUACCUCUCCGUGAUAUGGAGUGACAAAUCCCGAUCUCGAUUCAUGCCAACUCCACAGACACCUUCGGAGAUAACUAUAGAGCACCUUUAUGAUCACCAAGUUACGUUGUGACGUUUGAUAACACACAAGGUAUUCCUCCGGUAUCCGGGAGUUGCAUGAUCUCAUGGUCGAAGGAAUAUGUAUUUGACAUUAAGAAAGCCGUAGCAAUAAACUGAAGGAUCAUAUGCUAAGAUAACUAAUGGGUCUUGUUCAUCACAUCAUUCUCCUAAUGAUGUGAUCCCGUUAUCAAGCGCAACACAUGUCUAUGGUUAGGAAACAUUAACCAGCUUUUAAUCAACGAGCUAGUCUAGUAGAGGCUUAGUAGGGACAUUGUGUUUGUUUAUGUAUCCACACAUGUAUUUCAGUUUUCGGUCAAUACAAUUCUAGCAUGAAUAAUAAACCUUUAUCAUAAUUAAGGAAAUAUAAUAAUAACCACCUUAUUAUUGCCUCUUGGGCAUAUUUCCAACUGCUCUUGCUCCGAAUAACACAGUACCAUCACGUCACUUUUGGCAAAAUUAAUCAUCAAACACGACAUCUCUUGGAAGAAAAUAUGGAGGAACUGCAAAUUUAUUAUAUCCAUUGGAGUUCACUCCAUAUAAGGAUGGUGUCAUCCGCAUAUUGGAGGUGCGUGACUCCACCUACUGCAAUCAACUGGGCCACCACCCGACACAAAUGGCCAGCACAUCUCCCUUCAUCCAUAAUGGAUGCUAGGCCAUCGAUAACAAUAUUAAAUAAGAACGGAAAGAGUGGUUCAUCUUACCUCAACCCCCCUUGAGGGCUUAAAAAAUGGAUCCGUCUCCCUAUUAAUGUUAAUGGCAGUAUGUCCACUACUAACAAGCUACAUAAUGCGGGUAACCCAUCUACCAUCUAACCCUUUGCGCUGAAGGGAAUCUCUCCAAAAAUCCCAACUAAGCGUAUCAUAAGCCUUAUUGAAAUCAAUCUUGAAAAUACUGCCUUUUGAUGUUUAGUCUUAACCUGGUGAAUGAUUUCAUGUAGUGCCAGUAGCCCAUCAUGAAUUAGAUCACCCUUAAUGAAGGCAGACUGGUUUGGAUGGGUAAUUCUAGCCACUAUAGGUGCCUCCCUCAUGGCGUGCGCCUCGUCUAGGAUGCCGAAGAUCACGUUAAUAGCCGUGAUCGGCCGGAACUGGUGAAUGUCCAUUGCCCAAACUUCUUUGGAGAUCAACGUAACCACUCCAUAGUUAAGGCGGGAUGCGUCGAGCACCGAAUUAUAGAAAUCUCGGAAUAUAAUCAUCACCACCCCUUUAAUGAUCUUCUAGAAUUUCACAAAAAAACCGAACAGGAAGCCCAACCGGGCCCAGGGCAGAGUCGGGUUUCAUCGAGUUCAUUGCCGCUUCAACUUCUAGAAAAGGCUCCAUGAGCCUCAGCCACCCCCUCUGAGACCCACAUCUCGAAGACUCACCCCAGCCCAUUGUUGACUGUUCAAAAGGUUUUUGUAAAAACCAUCAAUGUGAGAGUGGAUCUCCACCUUGUCCUAAAGCAUUGUGACACCAUCCCAAAGGACCACAACCGAGGAUCACGAUGACGACCAUUGGCAAUAGCCUCGAAGUAUGCCGUGUUGGAGUCACCCCUAAAUGUCAAAUUAAACGACCCUAAGAUGACAGUAAAUCUAAUCGUUUCGAAAGAACGUCAUGAUGCUAUCCUCGAGACCACAUCUCUCCAUCCAUUCCUCCGGAUCUAGACCUGCCGUGGUUGACCGAUCAUCAAAGGACUUGAUGGCCACAAGGAGCCCCACCUUGCGGAUCCUCGAGUCUGGCCUAGGUUGCCCCCCCAACCCCGCAUGAAUUGCAUGGAUAAUUUGGUACAGUGAUGCCAAGUGUAUAACACCGACAUCGAUUGGUGGGGGAGUCGAGCGCCUCGAACCACUUGGACAUCACCACCUCGGCAAAACCCGGCUGGCAUUACCCGAAUAUAUAGCUCGAGAUGGAACUAUGGCGGUGGCCGAGGACUAGUUUCCCCGGAUGACAACAAGGGGACAUGAUCUGACCAGGGGCGGUGCCAGCACCAGGAGGCUGUGCAUUCAAAUGCACUAAUGUUUUUUAAAUGUCUUAUUUUCUUGCAUAAAUACGAAUAAAAUUAAGCUUGCAAUCAAAAAAAUUAUGGGGUCAGCUGACCCCACAUCGUACAUGUAGAAUCGCCCUGGAUCUGCCCUAACCCUCCUAGUCAGUAGUCACUGCCCGAAGAGCUGCUAGGGGAAACUUAUGUUCCCUUCAAACGCAACACCCAUAAUAUCGUAGUGCUAAAACUCUAAUCUUUGCCUAUUUUGCUCUUUAAAUUUUUUUUUUGAACGCCAUCUUCAAAAUGCUGAGCAGACAACUUGACCGAGUCUAAGCCAUCAGCACACACAUGUCACGCCUUCCUCCAAUUCGGCGGACAGCGAGUCGCCGGCUCCAGACUCCCUGACAAGUGGACUGGCGAACAACAAUGACAUGGACGAUGAAUAGUUAUUGUGAGCUAUCGCGUGGGUGUGUCCCACCUGUAAGUAUAGAGUGGUAUAACUAGGAGAUGAGCAGUGGUGCUCGGGGUGUGUUGUAAUUGAAUCCUGUGAACCUUCUCAUCUUUUCAGGGUGCGUUUGGUUUGAGGGCUAUCCCUCGUGUGGCUAGGGAUAGCCACUUUUUAAAUGGCUGCCAGGCGUUUGGUUUGAAGUUUAGCGUGGCUGAGGAUAGCCAGAUUCGCAGAAUAUUCCAUCAAAAUCGGGCUGAGCGGAGCCGCCGAAAAGUGGCGGACAUGGCCAACCACUCUGUGCCUGCGCACUCGCCUCGCCGUUUUCCCCUCGUUCUCGCCUCUUCCACCCGCCCCUUGAUAAGAAAAAAACCCUCUCCGUAUCUCUUGCGAAUUUGCGGCGGCGGCCGCCGCCGCCGAACCCCGCGGGGCGUGGUGCUGCAGCGGAUUUAGGGGCGUGAAGGUGAGGGAAGCAGGCGCGGUAGUUCAUGCCGACAAGGGGAAGCAGGGGAUCUGGAGAGCUGCCGGUCGAGGUGGUCGGCGGCGGAUCUGGAGAGCUGCCGAUCGAGGUUGUCGGCGGCGGAUCUGGAUCGAGAACUGAUGUACAUGUGUGGGUCGUGUGGUUCGCGACUACCCAUGCGUGGCUUGCGGCGAAGCGUCGUGUGCAUGCGGCGGAGUGGUGUACGUGCUGGGCUCCGGCCGGCCGCGCGUGCGUUGAUUGUUGUUGCUCUGGUCGGCUGCGCCAUGUCCUGUUCCUUUCGUUGAUUUUUUCUACUCAAAUCUGAUGUUAUCACAACAGCAUAUAUCCUCUUUCCAUCCCUUCAAGCAAACACAACAAUGGCUAUCUUCAACCACCUGACUUUCUAUCUAACCAAACAAAAAAAGUGGCUAUCCCUAACCAGGUGGAUGAGGAUACCCAUAACCACCUUAGCCCAUCCCCUGAACCAAACGCACCCUCAGCUGAUAAUCUCAUCCCCUUUCGUCUGAUAUCUCAUCCCCUUCUCCAAGCUAUCCUCUGAUCCCUAGAUCUCCAGAUCGGGACACCACAAUUGGUAAUCAGAGCCUGUGAUUGCUCCCCUCGCACUCACAAUCCGAGAUCAAUCCGUAAAAUUCCACUGCGAAAGGUGCCUUGAUUUGCUUCGGCUCAUCGGCUCAAAAUCCUUAGCGGGGUUGGAUUCGAUUCAGGAGAGCCGCGACGGCGCUGUCCAAGAUCACGAAGCCCUCGGCGCAGACGGAAAUUUUGUUGGGCACAAUGGAGAAGAUGCAGGCGACGUUGGAUGAGAUCCUGACCCGCUUCACCGCCACGGAUACCAGCGUCAAGACCGUCUCCGAGGAGGUCAUCAGCCUGCGCAAACAGGUAGAGGAGUUUGGCGACGAGAUGGACCACAUCAAGCGCCGCGUCCACGACACCGGCAAGUCAACCCCAUCGUCCUCGUCCGCGCUGCAUCAGGAGACCGCUCCGCCACCUGCCGACAAGGGCCAUGGAGUGCCGCUGCUCGUCAAUAAUCAUCCGCCGCUGCUUGGAACUCCUCAACAGCAGCCGUCCGGAUUUCACACCGCGCCGUCAUCACCACAUGAGCAGGAUGUGCGGCCCACCCUCCACGCCCAACCAGAUCAGGAGGAGUACCGGCCGCGUCAACCACGCCAUGAUUUUCCACGUUUCCAUGGUGAGAUGCCCCUGCUUUGGAUAGACCAGUGCUUGACUUAUUUCGAGAUGUACCGAGUGCCUGUUCAUCACUAGGUCAGUACUGCUACUCUGUACUUGGAUGGAUUGGCUGCGAUGUGGUUUCAGGCAUAUAAGCGUUUGCAUAGACGUCUCACUUGGGAUGAAUUCACGGGUGCUGUGGUGACUGAAUUUGGGCAUGACGAGUAUGAUGUUCACAUGACUAAGUUGCAGCAGUUACGGCAAACCACUUCUGUGAAUGAAUAUAAGGCCCAAUUUGAAGAGUGUAUGUAUCAUUUCUUUCUCUGGAUCCAACCAUGAGCACUCGCUGGUUUGUCUCUCAGUUUGUCUUUGGAUUACGAGAUGAGCUUUGUGGACCUGUGAGAUUGCAGGCUCCUACUAGUGUUACUUGCGCUGCAGCUUUGGCAAAAAUUCAGGAAGAAGAAGUGGAACACAUACGACCCAGAAAUCGUCCCGCAGCUCCAACAAAACAUCCACCACAACCUGUAGCAGGUGUGGUGCAUACACCAGCUCUGGGACGAACAGAAUUGCCUCCCCGUCAGGGCAAUGAUGACUUUAACAGGGAACGGCAGAUCCGUGAUUUUCGGCGCGCCAAUGGUCUUUGUUUUAAAUGUGGGGAUAAGUAUUCCAAAGAGCAUCAGUGUAAAAGAUCAGGUCAGCUACUCACUAUUGAAGUUGGAGAAUUUGGUGAAGUAUUAUCAGAUGAUGCAGUGGUUGCCCUGGAUCUCUUGGAAGAAACAAAAAUACCCGCUACUUGCUAUCAUCUUUCUAUGCAUGCUCUCGCGGGAACAGAAGCUUUGGAAACUGUUCGCAUUCGUGCUUUGGUGGGAAAUCAGGUGAUGCUCUUGCUUAUUGACUCUGGCAGCACACACACGUUUGUAAAUAAGAGCUUUGCAGAGCGUGCUGGUUGCACUAUUCAGUUAGUCCCAAUAGUUUCAGUUAAGGUAGAAAAUGGACAAAUUUUGUCGUCUGAUGCUCAAGUACAAGGGUUACAGUGGUGGACACAAGGAUCUACAUUUGUAACUGAUAUGAGGGUCCUGGAGCUUGGGGCCUAUGAUGCCAUAUUAGGCAUGGACUGGCUAGAGCAGUUCAGUCCUAUGAUCUGCCAUUGGCGUCAGAAAACAUUAACAUUCGAUUAUUUGGGAAAAUCCAUUACACUGCAGGGUGUCCUUUCUAAACCACAAGAGUCACUCCGGGAAAUGUCUCUGGAACAGUUAAAUAAGUGGAUUUCGGGGAAUGAGGUCUGGGCCAUGGCUAUGAUUGAUCCUAUACAGCAAACAACAGAAUCUGUACCCAACAUAGUGCAAUCAGAUAUGCAGUCUUUACUCGAGGAAUACCAUGAUGUUUUUGAUCAGCCCACUACUUUGCCACCGCAUCGUGCCUUGGAUCAUUCGAUCUCGUUAGAACCAGGAGCUCAUCCAACAAACAGUCGCCCCUACCGGUACUCUCCAUUGCAAAAGGACGAGAUCGAACGUCAGGUCUCGGAAAUGCUUGACAGAGGGGUGAUUCAGACAAGCAUGAGUCCGUUCGCGUCUCCGGUGCUGUUAGUUAAAAAGAAGGACGACACAUGGCGAUUUUGUGUUGAUUAUCGUCGCUUGAAUUCCAUAACUUUGAAGAACAAGUUUCCCCUACCGGUCGUUGAUGAGUUGCUGGACGAAUUGGCUGGCACUAAAUUUUUCUCCAAGUUAGAUUUACGCGCAGGAUACCAUCAAAUUCGCAUGAGGCCAGAGGAUGAAGAAAAGACAGCCUUUAAAACACAUCACGGCCACUUUCAAUUCCGAGUGAUGCCAUUUGGAUUAACGAAUGCACCAGCCACAUUUUAGUGCAUUAUGAAUCUCAUUUUUGCUAAAUACCUCCGCAAGUUUGUGAUAGUCUUCCUGGACGAUAUCUUGGUCUACAGUUCAUCUUGGGCAGAGCAUUUAGAGCAUCUGCGUCUGGUGUUCGAAACACUUCGUCAGGCUCAAUUCUUUGCUAAGUUAUCCAAGUGUUCUUUUGGGCAGAACAGUAUUCAGUAUCUUGGCCAUAUUAUCUCUGAUUCCGGUGUUGCAACCGAUCCCGAGAAAACAGUGGUGAUGGAACAGUGGCCAAUUCCUAAGACAGCAACUGAACUACGAGGAUUCCUUGACCUAACAGGUUAUUACCGUAAAUUUGUUAAACAUUAUAGUCUGAUUGCUAAACCACUGUCUCAACUUCUGACCAAAAAGGGUUUCUACUGGAAUGAACAAGCAACACAAGCAUUUCUUGCUCUGAAACAAGCUAUGGCACAGGCACCUGUCCUGGCAUUGCCCAACUUUUCCGAGCCCUUCACCGUGGAAACUGACGCUUGUGGCACUGGAGUGGGGGCAGUGUUAAUGCAGAAAGGGCAUCCAAUUGCAUACAUGAGCAAGCCUCUUGGGAUACUUAACUGUAAAAUGUCCAUCUAUGAAAAAGAAUUCCUUGCUGUGAUUAUGGCUGUGGAUAAGUGGCGUCCUUAUUUACAGUGCGGCCCAUUUCAGAUAGUCACCGAUCAUAAGAGCCUCUGCAACCUAGAGGAUCAAAUUUUGACUACUGAUUUGCAACGCAAGGCAAUGGCCAAGCUCGUGGGUUUACAGUUUCAGAUUAAGUACAGAAAGGGAAGUUAUAACGGUGCUGCCGAUUCCUUGUCUCGAGUGGGCCAUUUAUUGGAAACACAUGCCAUUUCCACCUUGCAACCUGAUUGGGUCCAGGAGGUUUCCAAUUCCUAUGUCACUGACACAGUGGCCACUCAGUUAUUACAAGAAUUGGCAAUUCAAUCUCCUAAUGCAAAAGGUUAUGCAUUGAAGAAAGGCCUAAUUACUUACAAAGGCAGAAUGUAUAUUGGUGCAAAUCUUGCCCUACAAACUAAGCUGAUAGCAGCUCACCAUGAUACUGCAGUGGGAGGCCAUUCAGGUAUUCAAGCCACAUACCACAGAUUGAAGCAGCUGUAUUAUUGGCCAGGUCUUAAGGUUGCCGUGGAAAAUUAUAUCCAUCAAUGUAUAGUGUGUCAACAAGCAAAACACACUAAUACAAAACCAGCUGGCCUUCUGCAACCCUUGCCACCCCCGACAGUCCUUGGACUGAAUUGACAAUGGAUUUCAUCGAGGGUCUUCCUAAUUCAGAGGGUGCAAAUUCAAUAUUGGUGGUCGUUGACCGCUUAACAAAGUAUGCUCACUUUCUGCCCUUGCAUCAUCCUUUCACAGCAACUUCAGUGGCCAAAGUUUUCCUGGAUAAUGUGGUGAAACUACAUGGUAUUCCCAAAACCAUUAUCUCUGAUCGUGAUAAGAUCUUCACUAGUAAGUUUUGGAGAAACCUGCUGCAAUCCAUGGGUAUUGAGCUCCACUACAGCACCGCUUACCAUCCGCAAACCGAUGGUCAGAGCGAACGAGUAAAUCAAUGUUUGGAGCAGUAUCUUCGUUGUGCUGUACAAGACAAUCCUCGUCAUUGGCGUCGUUGGCUAUCCAUGGCAGAGUUCUGGUACAAUUCCAGUUUUCAUACUGCUCUUCAAUGCUCACCAUUCCAAGCUUUGUAUCACAUUGCCCCAAAUUUUGGAGGAAUGCCUAACCUUACCGUGUCCAAUGACUCGCCAGCUGCUAGUGUUGUUAUCGACUAUAAGGCACCGACUGAACUUUUGCGUGCUCAGCUGAUACGAGCCCAACAACGCAUGAAGAGCUAUGCUGACAAGAACAGGACUGAACGUCAGUUUCAACCGGGUGAUCAAGUUUUGCUGAAACUCCAACCUUAUGCCCAACAAACAGUGGUCAAUCGUCCAUAUCCCAAAUUAUCCUACAAGUAUUUCGGUCCAUAUACUGUUCUGGAGCGCAUUGGUGCUGUCGCAUACAGACUACAAUUACCAGUUUCAGCUCAGGUACACCCAGUCUUUCAUGUGUCCCAAUUGAAGCCAUUUACUCCAAACUACACUCCUGUGUAUACGGAUAUUCCUGCCGUGCCGGAUUUGACAACAGUAGCACCGGUACCUGUUGCAAUCCUUGAUCGUCGGAUGGUACGCAAGGGCAAUGCAGCAGCACCUCAAGUUCUCAUUCAAUGGGCACAUGUUCCUCCAGAGCGUGCUACCUGGGAGGAUUACUAUGUCGUCAAAAGCAGAUUUCCUGAAGCUCUUCUGUGGGACGAUGAGCAAGCUCAAGCGGGGGGCAAUGUCACGCCUUCCUCCAAUUCGGCGGACAGCGAGUCACCGGCUCCAAACUCCCUGACAAGUGGACCGGCGAACGACGAUGACGUGGACGAUGAAUAGUUACUGUGAGCUGUCGCGUGGGUGUGUCCCACCUGUAAAUGUAGAGUGGUAUAACUAGGAGAUGAGCAGUGGUGCUCGGGGUGUGUUGUAAUUGAAUCCUGUGAACCUUCUCAUCUUUUCAGCUGAUAAUCUCAUCCCCUUUUGUCUGAUAUCUUAUCCCCUUCUCCAAGCUAUCCUCUGAUCCCUAGAUCUCCAGAUCGGGACACCACAACACACUGUACGCUCGAUCCAGUUUAGUAUCCCAAACAUUAAAUGGUAGUGAUAUAUGGCCCUGGAAACUGAUCGAACUUACUAAUUCCUAUAGUAGUAUAUGUGGACCCAAAAUCAAUCUCCAGCGUGUAGAUAUCUCCAUCAAAAACACACUCGUCUCCUCGACCCCAAAGUUAAUGCCCAAUACUUAUCAUUACACAAAGAAAGGAAGUAAUUAAUGCAUCAAUUAAUGAGAAGCGAGUAUAGGACUCGAGAGCAUAUCCAUCCAAGAGCGUUCACCUAUAAAAACACCCCUGCUCGAUGAAUCCAUCCUGUGCCUUCCGAGACUGUAUUCUAUUGCCUUUUGAGCAAGCACUCUUGCUCGAUCGAUCGAUCGACCGAUCCCGUGCCUGGCCACUGGUUGGCGAGCAUCUUACGCAAUGGCAGGUCGCCCGUUGCUGGUCCCGGCUGUCAUGCUGCGUCCUCCUGGACCGGCGUUGGGCUCGAGGGCCUCACUAUACGUCGGCGACCUAGAUGAUGGCGGGGCAUAUCUACGCCCUGUUCUGCCAGGUGGCGCCCGUGGCGUCCCUCCGUGUCUGCCGGGACGUCACUGGCAGGUCACUUGGUUAUGCCUACGUGAAUUUCUACAGUCGGGAGGACGGUGAGUUUGGCUUCAUCUCUUUUUUUUUUCUUUUUUUUGGGGUUGUCUUUGUCUCUUUGCAUGUUCAUCUACUCAGGCUUGGAUUGGGGAUACAAAGAACUUACGAGGCUGCGUGGUUUUAGAUCUUGGUUGUGUAGUCUGUGAUUUACUAGAUUUCCCAUACAAGAUGUGGCACACCAUCGGUUGAAGUUCUAUUUUGGCAUUUUCUUGUUCUGGUCAACAGAGGCGAGGGUCUUUUGAUGGAACGCGUGUAGAUAGUGUGUUGACCUGCAGUUUGUAGAACAACAUGUCACUAACAUGAGUAGUGUUGGAAUCCGUAACCGUUUCGGGUUUGCGGAAUCUGAUGCUCUCGGAAUCGGGCUCGGAAUAGGAUAAAUGAUUGGCAAAAGCCAAUGGACACACACAGUGGUUGCAAUUAAACGUGUGUUUACCUACAUACCAUAUAUUUCUGUCGUAAAAGAAAUUGACAUGUUCCUAUUAUUGGUGAUGUCUUUCUUAUUCAGGUCGUAACACUUGAGAAUUGAAUCGCAAGUUGAAUUGUAGUUUGUUGUUAAGUUAGGUUGGUUGUUUUCAAAUUAGCCAACAUUAAUUGCUGUUUGUGUCUGAGUGAAAGGCUUCAUACACUGCUUUUGUUUAUUAUGAACAGACGAGAAUAGGAAUUUGGGCUAAAAUCCUGCUAAGAGUUCUCUAUAGAUUGUGCACCAUGGGGUAGAAAAUCGCUGUAGAUAAUAUAGUGUUGUCGGAAUCUGACUCAGAACCGGAUGUAUGAUUUGGGAAAAAUAAGUAGACACACACAAUUGUUCCAAUUAAUAUGUGUUUAUCUGUUCGCUGAGUUAUGCCGUAAACGAAAUGACAUGUUCAUAUUACUGGUGGUUGUCUAUCGUAUUUAUGGUGUAACAUUUGGGAGUUGAAUCGUUAGCGAGAGGAAUUGUAGUUUUUAUUAAACUAGGUCACAUGAUUUGUUUUCAAGUCAGACAAGAUUGAUCAUUGUUACCAAUGAGGGAAUGACUUCAUAGAUUGCAUUUGGCGAUUAGGAAGAGAAUGGAAUUUUGACUAAAUCUCGGUAAGACUUCUUUAUAGAUUGGGUUUAUGCACAUUCCAUAAAAAAACCAAGACCCUCGCUUCGAUAGAUCACAACAAGAAAUAUAACUUCAAGGCACUGUAGAUUAGGAAGAGAAUGGAAUCGGCAGUUUGUAGAUUGGGAAGAUAAUGGAAUCAGCAGUUUGUAGAACAUGGUGCCGAACACUGACAUCAGGGUUAGAAUCCGUAACCGAUUCGGGUUUCCGAUAUGGCAAAAAAUCUUUGUGGAAACAAAUGCUGUCGGAAUACGACUCAGAGUCGGAUGUAUGAUUCGGAAAAGUCAAGUAGGCACACACACCGGUUGUAAUUAAUGUGUUUUUAUAUACCUAUAUAUUUUUGUGACAAACUAAAUGUUCCCAUUAUUGUUGAUGUCUAUCUUACUUACGCCGUAAUACUUGGAUUGAAUCGUCAGCGAGAGGAAUUGUAGUUUUUUGUGAACUUUGGGUUGGUUUGUUUCAAAUUAGCUAACAUUAGUUGUUGAUUCCAUCUGAGUUUAUGGCUUCAUAGAUUUCUUCUGGUCAUUACGAAUAGAAAAGAAUAGAAUUUGGGUUAAGAUCCUAUUAAGAUUUCUGCGUAGAUUUGCACCAUGGUGUAAAAUUCGACGCGGAAAAUAACGUUGCCGAGUAUGUCGGAAUCCGACUCAAAAUCGGAUAUAUUAUUUUGAAAAAGCAAGUAGGCACACACAAUUAUUAUUUUAGUUAAUGCAUUUUUUGUACUUGCAGGAUUCUCUCAUAAACAAAAUGUUAUGUUCAUAUUAUCGGCGUCGUCUAUCUUACUUACGGUCUAACUUUUGGGAGUUGAAUUGGUUAGCGAGAGAAAAUUUAGCUCUUUGUUAAAUUGGGCCACACGGUUUAUUUAUAAGAUAGCCAAGAUUUGUAGAUUGCACACGGGAAUUAAGAACACAAGAGAAUGGAAAUAGAGCUUAAAUUUCCUUACGAUUUCGUUGUAGAUUGUGCAUCAUGCAUGGUGUAGAACGUCAUCCUGGAAGUUAACAUUGUCACAAUCCGACUUGGACUCGGAUGUGCAUAUGAUUAGGAAAAAACAAAUAGCUAGAAUUUGGUUACAAUUAAUGUGUGUCUAUGUUCUUAUUUCUUUCUAUCUAAACAAAAGGACAUGUUUCUGUUAUUGGUGUUGUCUAUCUUUUUUAUGAAGUAACAUUUGGGAGUUUACUUGGUUAGUGAGCGACUUUUUUAAAGUUUAGUCCAUGCAGUUUGUUUUCUAGUUUAACCAAUAUUCAUUCUUGUUUCCAUUGAUGCCUCCAUAAGUUGGUGUGGCAAUUUGGAAAAUAUAAACAGGAGGGAACUGAAUGUGGGUUAAAAGGUCGUUAAGAAUUUUUCUAGUUUGUGCACCAUGGUGUUGAAAUGUGCUACAUUACACUAGGUAGAUUGUAUGAUCACGAUGGCCCCAUGGAUUUCAUAGUUAACCUAGUCAAAUUUUCAUCAGUUUAUUCAUGCUCCACGCUGCCAAAUUAGUUACGAGCGAAAUUGUACAUAGUUCAAAUUGGAUAUUAGCUUUGCAUAUCGGACAUCCGAUAAUUAUCUGCUCGAUGAACAUCCUGUCAUAUAUAAUACACCAUGUUGUAUCGUGGUCAAUUAUACAUAUACAUACCAUACCUACACUAUUGUUUUCACCUUAACCUGAUUUCUUUUUCUUUGUAUUUGUAUGUUUGCUUGCCCUACUAGAGGAUUUGAGUUUAAUACUACAAUUACCUCUAAUAAUUUUGUAUGUGAUUGUUUUGCAGCCAAACGUUCAUUAGACUCUUUAAAUUUUACACCUCUCAACGGGAAGCAUAUCCGAGUUAUGUUCUCGAAUAGGGACCCAAAGCUGCGAUUGAGUGGAAAGGCCAAUAUAUUCAUAAAAAAUCUUGUGCCAAAUAUUGAUGGCAAGAGCUUGAGUGAUAUGUUUGGUCGCUAUGGCACUAUACUAUCAUGCAAAGUGGCCACUCACUUUGACGGUCAAUCAAAAGGGUACGGAUUUGUUCAGUUUGCAGAGGAGACAUCUGCCAAUGAUGCCAUCGACAGCUUGAAUGGCAAGUUGGGUUGAAUGGCAAACAAAUUUUUGUAGGUCUCUUCAUUCGUCGUCAGGAGAGGCAGCCAAAUAUCAGCGCGAGUAAUUAUACAAAUGUAUAUGUGAAGAACUUGCCAAAGGAAUUCACUCACAAUGACCUUCUGCAAGAGUUUGGUCCUUUCAGUACAAUUACUAGCGCUGUAAUCAUGAGAGAUAAUGAUGGAAUAUCCAAAUGCUUCGGAUUCGUUAACUAUGGGGAAUCAGAAUGUGCUGCAGAAGCUGUGAAAAGUCUUAAUGGUAAGAUGAUUAAGGAUACAAUUUUGUAUGUUGGAAGAGCUCAGAAAAAGUCAGAAAGAGAAGCAGAACUGAAAGAAAACUUUGAGCGUGCGAGAAAUGAGAAAUUCAAAAAGUUUGAAGGGCUCAAUCUAUACGUGAAGAACCUAGAUGAUAGUAUUAAUGAUCGAAAUCUUAGAGGGUUAUUUGAAUUUUUUGGUGAGAUAGGAUCAUGCAAGGUAGUUCUCUCUUUAUUUGCUAGCUAAUUUUGUUUCUUAGUAUCAUGGCUCACCUUCUUAACAUUUUUUUUGGUUAUGGUUGAUUCACAAUGAAGGAGCAAGGGUUAUGGCUUUGUGUCAUUUACAACUAUUGAAGUUGUCCACAAGGCUGUAAGUAACAUGGUUUAGUUGUAUGCAAACGUACCCAAUGCAUCCAGUUGACUAGUUUAGAUUAUUAAAUCAUCUUUGAUCAAUGUGGUAGAUUGACGGGAUGAACAGGAAGAUAGUCGGCAAAAAGCCAUUGUAUGUUGGUGUAGCUCAACGCAAAGAGGAAAGACGAGCGAUGCUAGUGGUAAAUCUUUCCCAAGUGAUCAUUUUGUACAUUAGGUGCCUUCUGCUGAUAAGUGAUAAGUAGUGACUUCUUUUAAUUAAUCUUAUAUGCUGAUAAGUGCUGUUUGAGUUCUAAUAUUGCUAUGUGACAUGUCUACUACAUGUCCAAUUAUUUACGUAUUAUUUGUUUCAUUUUUACACAUAGCUGAUGAACUAAAAGAAAAUCAGUUCAGUUAUAAAUAAGUUGUAUAUUGUCCCAUCCUAAGAAUAACAUAGACUGAGAAUCAAUGUGGAUGAGUGUUAACAAAAUGGUUAUUUUUUUACCGUCCAAAUAAACUUAAGUAAAACAGGUUCUCUCUUGUCACCUGUGUGUCACUGAAUAUUUGAACAUUAGAUCUGCAACUGUUUCAAGAAUAUAAACAAGGGACACAGCACAAGCUUAAUGCUACUGACAUUGUUUCUAGG